RNAcentral lists this long non-coding RNA (1315 nucleotides) under Homo sapiens (human). RNAcentral's name for it is "HSALNT0157727". The record is from RNAcentral. Lineage: Eukaryota; Metazoa; Chordata; Mammalia; Primates; Hominidae.
CAAAGAAGUACAACAGGAUAUUCUCAAACCUGGUGCAAAGUGAAUCAUCUUAUCAAACACAAACUACCUGAGCUAUAUAUUGGUACUGUUUAAUUGACAACUCUAAGCAGGGUGAAGUCCUCAUAUUAUGGUCUUAUAACUGUCAACCUGAUGAGCAUUUUUUAAAGUGAUCUCUGGACAAACAUUCUCCUGGCUGUGAGGACAAGCUGCAGUUCGGACCAGCCUCCUGUGGAAGCAAACAUGCAGUCACUGGCCUCCAGAGUUUGGCUUAACACAGCUCUUCCUCUUCCUGAAAGUUACAGCAGGAAGCCGUUUUCAACGUUGCUUGUAAAACUGUAACUUCAGCAUUACACAAACUUCAGGAAUGAAAGCUCACCUGCAGGAACAUGAGUGAAUAUAAACAGGGGUGCCUAGAACCACUGCUCACAGCUAGAAGCCUGCGCGGGAGAUGGGGGUGACAGGAUAGGAACGGGGCGGCUCAGGCCCCAGCCAUGGCACCAUCACAGAGUGCGUGCCUCCCUCCUGUUUUCAUGCACGUGGCACAUGCCGGAGGCAGCCAGGUCACCAAGUGGUCAGAGCUUUCCUCUGCUUUACACCACGUAGGACCCAUCUGAGCAUUUUCCGGAAUAAUUAUAGGGUGAUUUUUCAGGGAACGUGGGCAGUGUUUCUAUUUUCAACUUUAAGUUUCAUGGAGGAAAUUUUUAGAGUAAAUGGUGUUAUGUAUAUGGCUAUAUUUCAGCUAAAAUCUGUAUUCAGUUGGUUUAAGAUUUGAAGGAAAGAAUAAGGAGAUUAUAGAUUGGAGACUGGCUUCUCAGGAAGUUUCUACAGAAUCUAAUCUUAUCUCAUUGCUUGUAUUUGUACUUCUCUAUUCAGAAACAACUAACAAUAUAGAGUUUUUCAUCUUUUCGGAACCAUUAGAGUUUGUUCUUUUUUUUUUUUUUUUUUUUUUUUUUUUUUUUUUGUGAGACGGAGUCUCGCUCCGUUGCCCAGGCUGGAAUGCAGUGGCCUGAUCUCAGCUCACUGCAAGCUCCACCUCCCGUGUUUAUGCCAUUCUCCUGCCUCAGCCUUCCGAGUAGCUGGGACUACAGGCGCCCACCACCAUGCUUAGCUAAUUUUUUGUAUUUUUAGUAAAGACGGGGUUUCACCGUGUUAGCCAGGAUGGUCUCGAUCUCCUGACGUCAUGAUCUGCCUGCCUCGGCCUCCCAAAGUGCUGGAGGCCGUGAGCCACCAGCUACAGGCGUGAGCCACCGUGCCUGACCUCGACUUUGUUCUUAAAAAUGUAAAAAUAUCUAUUUUUUUGCAGUUUUCCCUUUUG